GAUCAGCUGGUGAUGCAGGAAGGCUUUGUAAGCUGCUAGGCUGGAGUGAUUGCGUGUUGCACAGGCGACGUCAGGUUAGGUUACAUUAGGUUUGUGUGACUCGCUACAUGCAGCUAGCACAUGUACUGUGAGAGAGGCCUUCCUGGUGCUGCCAGCCUGCAUAGUGCUGGGGGAGCACAGCUGCUGACGGGAGCACAGCUGCAGGUAUUUCUCAGUGUUGUCGUCUUUUUCGGGACACAGUCCUGUGAUGUCUAGAUGGAUUUUACAUUAUAAAAAGCAUAGCAUUGUUUUCCGAGUAAUGAAACACAGGUGUACCCAUUUUCCUGGCUAGUGUGCCUCCUGCCCUUCCCUGAGGUGAUGGCGCUGGCUCCUUCCCUUGGACAGCGGGUGCUGCUGGGAUUUAAAGAUGCAGCACUAGAAGACAAAGGUUCAUCGUGGGAUGUCAGCAAGAUAGGGGGUCUGCCGGAUGCCCCACCACACGUGACCCUUCUCUUUCCAUCAUGUCCUCUGUGUUCUUCAGUCCUGUGUCACGUUGUGCAAGUGUACUGCCCCUUAGAGGGUUCGCAGUACCACCGUGUCAUCCACGUAUUUGCAUGCAGUAAGAAGCCGUGCUGGGGGAAACAUGAGAGCUGGGUGGCAUUACGAUCCCAGGGCCUUGAGGAACAUAAGCCACAGAUCACACAGUCCGUGUCACAGCAGGAAAACAAGAUGUCUGCUGCUGAUUGGUGUGAUGAUGCUAAUAACUGGGGGUUUGAUAGUGAUGAACCUCUCACAACACCCGCAGUGACACAUACCACAAGUUGCCCUUCAGUGCCCCUGCAGACAGAUUGGACAUCACAGCUCCAGAACCUCUCACUCAUGGACCCAUCAGAGCCAGUACCGGCUUAUGACUCUGUAUUUCAAUCUUAUUAUCUGGCAGUGGCAGAGGAGGAAGAAUGUGAGUGGGACACGGACCUGGAUCACGCUCAGCGUCUUCUUCGGGAGUACGAGCAGCGAGAGGCAGCCAUAAUGGAGCAUGUGGAUAGCUUGGCGGGUAAAGGAGAGGGGGAGAAGUAUGAGAAGUGUGACUUGCAGAUCUGCAACCUGGUGUUCCACAAGUUCUUGAAGAAAAUCUCAUUAUGCCGACAGCAAAUCCUCAGAUAUUCUUGGAAUGGAAUCCCAUUAUACAUGAGCCUCCCCGAUGUUGCAUCCCAGCCUCUUCCUUGCACACGUUGCGGAGGAAGAAGAGUGUUUGAAUUUCAGCUGAUGCCAGCUCUGGUCACAAUGCUGCAAGGAACAAAAGCUGACCUGUUGCUGGAGUUCGGGACUGUUCUUAUUUUCACCUGUGAGAGGAGCUGUUGGGAGGUCAGCGACAAGACACCAGUACAGGAAGCCUGCUUUGUACAGGAAGAUCCAGACCAGAGAUACUUUAAAUAAGUGGAACUGGUAUAUUUUGUGCAUCGCCUUAAAGUGCACAGGAAUCCAAGAACAUUUACAUAGAGUAAUCAUCUUGGACAGAAUUACAGAUGCUCUGACUUAAACCCUCUAUGCCCUUGGGCAUCAACUUUAGCAGAUGACAUUGAAGGACUAGUAUCAUCUUGACUGGUGGUAGCAGCUGCAGUGCUAGUAUUCGGUUGUCGUUCCUGCUCUUCUCAUGACUGUUAUCUAUUUCAAUGAAAACACAGAAGUUGUACAAACAAAAGAACAUUUUUAUUUACUUUUUUUGCAACUGGCAACUGUCACUGCGGGAAGACACACCACUUAUAUAGAUGAGCAGGUUCAGAUCUCUCAAAUCCGAACCCCUGGAUCCAUGUCCGUAUCUGGGUCCAACUCGGGACUUCCCACCAGACUCUGAUCCGAGAUUGAGGCAAAACGUCAUCAUCCUGCUGUCUGAUCUCGCAGGUUUUGGAUUCUAUAUAACUCCUUAUGUCGCUGCCAUUUUCACUCUGGACUUGUAGAGUGAGGGAUACAGACCUCUGUCUGUCUGUGGGUGGUAGUGUACAGGGUUGCUGCUGUCCUGUGUUGUUCUGGGGUCAUGUCCUGUGCUGUUAGGGGUGCUGCUGUUCUGGGGUGGUGUCCUGUGCUAGUGUAAUGUUCUGUUAGGGGUGCUGCUGUACAGGAGGAGUGCUGUUCUGGAGUGGUGUCAUGUGCUGUUAGGAGUUCUACUGUACUGUGCUGUACAGGGGUGCUGUCCUGUGCUGUUAGUGGUGCUGCUGUCCUGUGCUGUACAGGGGUGCUGUUUUUGGGUGUCCUGUGCUGUUUGGGGUGCUGUAAAGGAGUGCUGUAGAGGGGUGCUGCAGUCCUGUGCUGUACAGGGGCACUGUUCUGUGUGCUGUAAAAAUAUAGGGGUGUUUUAAAAAUAAAGGAAUGUCGUGGCCCUGUCCUGUAUGCUGUAAAAAUACAGAAGAGCUAUAAAAACAAAGAAA
Molecule: RNA transcript, 2405 nt
Organism: Pseudophryne corroboree (corroboree frog)
Lineage: Eukaryota; Metazoa; Chordata; Amphibia; Anura; Myobatrachidae
Gene: PDCD2L
Gene name: programmed cell death 2 like
Exons: 11
Source: RefSeq, a predicted model, not a curated record